RNAcentral lists this ribosomal RNA (253 nucleotides) under uncultured bacterium. RNAcentral's name for it is "partial 16S ribosomal RNA". It matches the Rfam family "Bacterial small subunit ribosomal RNA", at positions 524 to 776 of the family's 1533-position model. The record is from RNAcentral.
UACGGGGGGGGCAAGCGUUGUUCGGAAUUACUGGGCGUAAAGGGCUCGUAGGCGGCCAACUAAGUCGGAUGUGAAAUCCCCAGGCUUAACCUGGGAACUGCAUCCGAUACUGGAUGGCUUGAAUCCGGGAGAGGGAUGCAGAAUUCCAGGUGUAGCGGUGAGAUGCGUAGAUAUCUGGAGGAAUACCGGUGGCGAAGGCGGCAUCCUGGACCGGCAUUGACGCUGAUGAGCGAAAGCUAGGGGAGCAAACGGG